RNAcentral lists this ribosomal RNA (539 nucleotides) under uncultured bacterium. RNAcentral describes it as "partial 16S ribosomal RNA". It matches the Rfam family "Bacterial small subunit ribosomal RNA", at positions 355 to 887 of the family's 1533-position model. The record is from RNAcentral.
UGGGGAAUUUUGGACAAUGGGGGAAACCCUGAUCCAGCCAUCCCGCGUGUGCGAUGAAGGCCUUCGGGUUGUAAAGCACUUUUGGCAGGAAAGAAACGUCGCGGGUUAAUACCCCGCGAAACUGACGGUACCUGCAGAAUAAGCACCGGCUAACUACGCGCCAGCAGCCGCGGUAAUACGUAGGGUGCAAGCGUUAAUCGGAAUUACUGGGCGUAAAGCGUGCGCAGGCGGUUCGGAAAGAAAGAUGUGAAAUCCCAGAGCUUAACUUUGGAACUGCAUUUUUAACUACCGGGCUAGAGUGUGUCAGAGGGAGGUGGAAUUCCGCGUGUAGCAGUGAAAUGCGUAGAUAUGCGGAGGAACACCGAUGGCGAAGGCAGCCUCCUGGGAUAACACUGACGCUCAUGCACGAAAGCGUGGGGAGCAAACAGGAUUAGAUACCCUGGUAGUCCACGCCCUAAACGAUGUCAACUAGCUGUUGGGGCCUUCGGGCCUUGGUAGCGCAGCUAACGCGUGAAGUUGACCGCCUGGGGAGUACGGUC